UAUUUCCUUAUCAAAGUUAAAAAACAAAUAAAACCCCCAAACAAACAAACAAACCAAACAAAAAACCCCAAACACUACACAAAGACAUGCAAAUUUCUCUUUGCUCAAGAUUAUAUUUGAAAAAAAAUAAUGCAUUGCCUUUUCUCUGGAAACCCAACUUUAUAACAUUUUUUUUCUGUACAAAGAGUGCUAAAGUGAAACAGAAUCCUGAAAGCAGCUAGAACUUGACUAUAUCAAGUAAAAUAUUUGCCAACUGUAACUACGGGAGUGUAUAAACUGUGAAAGUGUAUUUUAAAUAUGCUGCUGAAGUACUGAACUAUUGGGAAAAGUGGUAUUUAUGGAGGGCUGUACUCCCUUUGGUAUACAACUGGAUCUAAUGGUCACUGCAAUUAGAUUCAAUAAUUAUUUUUGUCUCAGAGACAAAUGCUGACUGCUGCUGCUGUUUCACUUAAAUUUAAAAGAACAAUAGCCAGCUUGCCUGGAGGAGCAAAACUUACCAAGUCCAAACAGCAACCAGAAAAUACCCUCUGUGCUGAGCCUGUGAUAUGUUCUUCUCCAAAUAACUAGAGAUUUAUUCAUAAAGCCUUAAGUCAGUGCUCUAAGAAGUAAGAUACCUGCACAGUUUAAGGGGAGGCUGAGAUUUUAAUCUCCCUGCCAGUCAGUCAUCACAGUGUUGGCUCCAGCAGUGCUCCUGUCCAGGUGUGCAGGCUGCAGCCCAGUGCUGCUGUGUUUACUUCAGACACAGACAUGGAAAACAGGCAGGGCCCUGGUGGACAGGCUUAUUUGACAAAUGCCCAACCAACCCUUCAUCACCUUUGCUUUAGAAUACUGUCAAGUGCAGUACAAAUACAUGGCAGGCCAUUUGCCAAGCCCAUUUAAUUAAUCUACUAUUUUAUAAUUUCACAUUACCAGUUUGUAAAGCGAGUACUACACCUGAGUAGCAGUGAGAACUACAGGCUGUAUGCUGUUUAUGUAUAGAGGUCAUAUUUUUUACAACAGUGGAAACUUCUUGUAUCUGUAAUAGGUGCAGCAACACUACAGACUAAUUACCCUUUUGUCUCAAAUAAUUUUUCUGUCAUCCUCCUGCCCUCCCAAAGAGAGGCAGUUAAAAGAAAUACACAAGCUUCAAUUCCAAGGAUUUUUUUAGUUACAAUUUUCCUAACUUUAGCCUCCUAAAACCCACUAAGCCAUCCUGAAAUGCAGUACACUAUACACCAGUGAACCUGCCUCCACACCAAGGACUGGUUUAAUUCACCAUCAUCACAUUUAGUCGCUAUCAACAAGUGCUGGCCAUCAGCUUGCACUGCCCCAUACUCAGUGGACCUCAUUUUGCAGAGUUUCAAGCCCUUUCUGCUUCCAAAGAAGCCCACAAUCAGCCUACUGACCUUAACCCCUGUUCUGCCAGCUCCCACUGCUUACCAAGAUUUCAGUCUCCAUUUGGGCCACUUUAGAAACAAGGCAUCAUGCAUAUUGUCAGCACUGGAGCAGGCUGCCCAAAGCAGUGCCUGGGUCACCAUCCCUGGAGGGAUCUGGAGCCAUGUCAUGCCUGCUGUGGCACUGGGGAUGGGUUUAGGGAUGGGCUGGGCAGUGCUGGGAUGACUGAAAGGUCUUUUCCAACCUCCACAGUCCCAUGCUUGCAGAGCAAGGCUGGAGGCACAGUUGCAGGCUGCAGGACCAGGCUUGCAGGCUGUGCAGGCAUUAACAGGCAUGCAUGUGUCAUUUCUCCUGAGAAUGUAACUUCUGUGCUGCAUUACAACACGGCUUCAUGAUAUCUCCAUUUUCACACACUUACCAGCCAAGACUGUCAGUACCUCUUAUUUCAGUUCUUAGCAAACUCUACAAGAGAUGUUCCUCCAUGUGAAACUACUUGAGUAAAAAAAAAAUAUAUAUAUAAUUUACAAGAAACAUGUGGACGGAUGAGCUUAAAAUAAUGUUCAAUUUAAAAAUGAAGCUUUCCUAGCCUGAAAUGUUGAUGACUAAGUGAUUACUAAGCUUCCACACAUUUUAGUGUACAAGUUAUCACAAUGCUUCAGGUUUUGUUUUACAGUUACUAACUUGUGCUAUGACCUUGUUAAUGCUAUGUUAAUACCAUUAGUAUAAUUACAGCUAAUAUAAAGUUCUAAUAACACUGUAAGUCUAGCAGAAACCUAUUUCGAGCUCUAGUGUACCUUCAGUACAAAUACAAACCCAGACAGACUGCAUUUUCUAUAUUGUCUUUGCCAGAACCACAUCCACAGACUGGAACUGAAGAGAUGACAACAGAGUAUAUAAAACCUAAGUUUUUAUUUAGGUAUUCUGGCAUGUAUAAAUGUUAAGAUGUGAUUUAUAUAGUGUCACAUUUUCAUUCCAGUUUCUGUCAUAUUCACUAAUGUUUCACAGUUUAGGAAUCUUUUUUAAAUGAAUGGUCAAAAACAAAGUGUAUUUGCCACUAUUAUGUCUGCAAAAAUUUGUAUGGGCACUAAAGAAUAGACAAAACUUUUAUACAUACAUAUUUCAUUCUAAUAAUAAUCUAAUUUUAAAUUUUGAGAAACUGCAUGGGUUUGUUUUUCUGUAUUUUGAAUUAGGCAUCUCCACUGAGGUAUUUUCAGCUAAGAACAUAACCUUUGUUCUUUUAAAGUUCCAGUUAACUUAAAUCAACUGCUGACCUGUAAAAUAAGUUAUCCUCACAUUUUCUUCUUGCAUUUUCAUGUUGGCAAUAAAGAUGCUCUUCCUGUGAUCAUUUGCAGGUGCUCUCCAAAGACACCAGAGGUACUCCCAGGACAGACAGAGGGAGCUGUAUCUCCAGUUUUCUCUUUUAGAAAGACAUCUAUACACAAGCUGUCAAGUUUAAACUUGCAA
This 2838-nucleotide long non-coding RNA is filed under the name Taeniopygia guttata (zebra finch). Its description in RNAcentral is "lncRNA (ENSTGUG00000027927.1)". The record is from RNAcentral. Lineage: Eukaryota; Metazoa; Chordata; Aves; Passeriformes; Estrildidae.